This is a long non-coding RNA of Contarinia nasturtii (swede midge), 178 nucleotides long. RefSeq lists it as uncharacterized. The record is from RefSeq and is a predicted model, not a curated record. Lineage: Eukaryota; Metazoa; Arthropoda; Insecta; Diptera; Cecidomyiidae. The transcript has 2 exons.
UGGUUCAGUUACUCUCUAACGUCUAAACUUUCGACACAACUUCGAAUAUUUCAAAGGAAAAAAGACUAAAAAAAAAAUGUUCAAUCCAAAAUUGUUCGUGUCAUUUUUGAUCGGGUUCAUGGUUUUUGGGCUCGUCAUUUUCAACGUUAAUGGACACGAAGGUGGCAAAUCUAAGAAU